Molecule: ribosomal RNA, 141 nt
Filed under: Acinetobacter baumannii
Lineage: Bacteria; Pseudomonadati; Pseudomonadota; Gammaproteobacteria; Moraxellales; Moraxellaceae
Description: partial 16S ribosomal RNA
Rfam family: Bacterial small subunit ribosomal RNA
Source: RNAcentral
UUUAACUGAAGAGUUUGAUCAUGGCUCAGAUUGAACGCUGGCGGCAGGCUUAACACAUGCAAGUCGAGCGGGGGAAGGUAGCUUGCUACUGGACCUAGCGGCGGACGGGUGAGUAAUGCUUAGGAAUCUGCCUAUUAGUGG